AUGACAUUAUUAUUGGGACCACCUGCAUCUGGGAAGUCAACGCUCUUGCUGGCCCUAGCUGGCAAACUGGAUCCUAAGCUAAAGAAAAGUGGAGGGAUUACCUACAAUGGAAUUGCUUUGGAUGAAUUUUGUGUACAAAGAACUUCUGCAUAUAUUAGUCAAACAGAUAACCAUCUUGGGGAGCUGACAGUAAGGGAAACUUUAGAUUUUGCUGCAAAAUGCCAAGGCGCAAGCGAAAACUGGGGAGAAUGCUUGAAAGAAUUGGUCAAUCUUGAACAAAAAAGAGGCAUGCGUCCUAGUCCCGAGAUAGACGCUUUUAUGAAGGCAGCAUCAGUCGGAGGAGAUAAGCACAAUCUUGUUACCGACUAUGUACUGAGAGUGCUUGGGCUGGAUAUAUGUGCGGAUACCCUUGUAGGCAGCGACAUGGAAAGGGGUGUCUCUGGUGGUCAGAGGAAGAGAGUGACAACAGGUGAAAUGAUUGUUGGACCUAGAAAAACACUUCUCAUGGAUGAAAUAUCAACAGGUCUUGACAGCUCAACAACUUUUCAAAUAGUGAAGUGCCUGAGGAACUUCGUCCAUGAGAUGGAGGCAACCGUGCUCAUGUCACUUCUUCAGCCUGCACCAGAGACGUUUGAACUAUUUGAUGAUCUAAUUCUAUUGUCGGAAGGGAAGAUCGUCUACCAAGGCCAGAUUGACCAUGUUGUGGAGUACUUUAAAUCAUUAGGAUUUUCAUUGCCACCACGCAAGGGUAUUGCUGAUUUUCUCCAGGAGGUAACUUCAAAGAAAGAUCAAGCUCAGUACUGGUCUGACCUGUCAAAACCAUAUUCGUUUAUUCCUGUGUCAGCAAUGGCUGCUGCAUUUACAGAUUCCCAGUAUGGUAGAAAUCUUGAGUUCCAUCCACAUAAUUCAGACGGUCAUACAAAUUCUCCUGAGGCUCUUGCCCGAUCCAAGUUUGCCAUAUCAAAAUAUAGGCUCAUUAGAGCGUGUUUUGCCAGGGAGCUUAUUCUCAUAAGCCGUCACCGUUUCCUCUACACUUUUAGGACAUGCCAAGUUGCUUUUGUUGGGCUCAUUACAAGCACACUAUUUUUACGGACAAGAUUACAUCCAAUUGAUGAGCAAAAUGGAGAGCUCUAUCUCUCUUGUCUUUUUUUUGGGCUUGUACAUAUAAUGUUUAAUGGUUUUUCAGAACUGUCUAUAACUAUUUUUCGACUUCCGGUGUUCUAUAAGCAAAGAGAUAAUUGCUUUCAUCCUGCAUGGGCUUUCUCACUUCCCAAUUGGAUACUAAGAAUUCCGUAUUCUAUUAUUGAAGCCACAGUGUGGUCUUGUGUUGUCUAUUACACCGUAGGCUUUGCACCAACUGUUGAUAGAUUUUUUCGCUUUAUGUUGCUAUUGUUCUCUAUACAUCAAAUGGCUUUGGGCCUUUUCCGGAUGAUGGGAGCUAUUGCACGAGACAUGACAAUCGCCAACACUUUUGGAUCAGCUGCCAUGAUGGCUAUUUUUCUUUUGGGGGGAUUUAUUAUUCCUAAAGAGGCCAUAAAACCGUGGUGGGAGUGGGCGUACUGGGUUUCCCCAUUAAUGUAUGGGCAACGUGCAAUUUCAGUUAAUGAAUUCUCAGAUUCUAGAUGGUCAAAGGUUUCAAGUUAUAUGAACAAUACAAUUGGAACCAAUGUACUUCUUGCACAUGAUCUGGGGACACAGAAUUACUGGUACUGGAUUGGGGUUGGUGUUUUAUUGGCUUACGCCCUCUUGUUCAAUGUUUUGUUUACUCUUGCAUUGGCAUACCUUAACCCCCUUCAAAAGGCACAGGCACUAAUCCUGGCUAACUCCGAGGAAUCCAAAGAUUUGAAAAUUGCCGGUGCUACCUCCGAUAGAAACACAACUACAGAUAAAUGUAACAGGACCAAUGUGCUUGAAGUGAGCACUGAAGGCACCAGAAGGAAGGGGAUGUUACCAUUUCAACCCAUAACCAUGACGUUCCACAAUGUCAACUAUUUUGUUGACAUGCCAAAGGAAAUGCAAGCAAGAGGAAUAACUGAAAAACGACUGCAGUUGUUGUUUGAAGUAAGCGGAGUAUUUAGGCCACGUGUCCUGACUGCACUCGUUGGCUCAAGUGGUGCUGGAAAGACAACACUUAUGGAUGUUUUAGCUGGCAGAAAAACUAGUGGGUGUAUAGAAGGUGAUAUCAAGAUUUCUGGCCAUCCAAAAGAACAACAAACCUUUGCUAGGGUAGCGGGAUAUGUUGAACAAAAUGACAUACAUUCACCACAAGUAACAGUUGAAGAGUCCUUGUGGUUUUCAUCAGCCUUACGGCUUCCAAAUGACAUAAGUAGAGAAACAAAAAAGGCAUUUGUUGAAGAAGUCAUGUCAUUGGUAGAGCUGGAUGAAUUGCGACAUGCAUUAGUAGGGAAACAAGGUUCUAGUGGACUUUCAACGGAGCAAAGGAAGCGUCUUACAAUAGCUGUUGAACUAGUUGCAAAUCCAUCCAUUAUUUUUGAUGAACCUACAUCUGGUUUGGAUGCACGAGCAGCUGCCAUUGUGAUGCGCACUGUUCGAAAUGCUGUUGAUACCGGACGAACUGUCGUCUGCACGAUACACCAGCCAAGUAUCGAUAUUUUUGAAUCAUUUGAUGAGCUACUACUUUUGAAACGAGGAGGUCGAGUAAUAUAUGGAGGUUCACUUGGUGUUAACUCAAUAGAUAUGAUUCAUUAUUUUCAGGGAAUUCCUGGAGUCCCUCCCAUACGCGAAGGCUACAACCCAGCAACAUGGAUGCUUGAAGUGAGCACACAAGCGUGUGAAGAAAGGCUUGGUUUAGAUUUUGCAACGGUGUACAAGAACUCAGAUCAGUUCAGGAAUGUGGAAGAUUUAAUAGAAGAACUAAGUGUUCCGGAUUCAGGCUCAAAACCUUUAAAGUUCACAACUGAGUUUUCACACGGUUGUCUUACUCAAUUUGGAGUAUGCCUACGUAAGCAAGGCCUUAUUUACUGGAGAAGCCCUGAGUACAAUGUCGUGAGAUUGUUUUACACAGCAAUAGCUUCUCUUAUAUUUGGUUCAAUAUUUUGGAACGUUGGGAUGAAGAGAGAAACAACCAGGGAUUUGUAUCUUGUCAUGGGAGCUUUAUAUUCGGCAUGCCUAUUUCUUGGAAUAAAUAAUGCCUCGUCAGUACAGCCUAUAAUUUCCGUUGAGAGAGCAGUCUACUACAGAGAACGGGCUGCUAAGAUGUACUCAUCAUUCCCAUAUGCAGCAGCUCAGGGCCUUAUAGAGAUACCUUAUAUUGCGACUCAGACACUAAUAUUCGGUCUCAUCACUUACUUCAUGAUCAACUACGAGAGGAACCUAGGGAAAUUGCUCCUUUACCUCCUUUACAUGUUCCUUACUUUUACCUACUUCACAUUCUAUGGGAUGGUGGCGGUAGGUUUGACGCCAACACAAUCAGUGGCAGCAGUGGUAGCCUCAGCAUUUUACUCCUCAUGGAAUCUUUUCUCUGGGUUCCUAAUUCCCCAAUCUAGAAUACCAGGUUGGUGGAUCUGGUUCUACUACAUCUGCCCAGUGGCCUGGACCCUGAAAGGCAUCAUUACAUCGCAAUUGGGAGAUGUCGACACGAGGAUCGUGGGUCCUGGUUUUGACGGGACAGUCCAACAGUUCGUCCAGCAAAACCUGGGAUGUGAACAGGGGAUGACGGGUGUCACUAUUGCAGUGCUCAUUGCCUUCUGCGUCUUAUUCUUUUCAGUUUACGCGCUUUCUAUCAAGAUGCUUAAUUUCCAAAGAAGAUAA
This 3771-nucleotide ribosomal RNA is filed under the name Triticum aestivum (bread wheat). Its description in RNAcentral is "partial small subunit ribosomal RNA". Lineage: Eukaryota; Viridiplantae; Streptophyta; Magnoliopsida; Poales; Poaceae. The record is from RNAcentral.